This 74-nucleotide transfer RNA is filed under the name Plicaturopsis crispa FD-325 SS-3. Its description in RNAcentral is "tRNA-Val (AAC) (tRNA-Val-AAC-1-1)". It matches the Rfam family "tRNA". From Rfam's summary of the family: Transfer RNA (tRNA) molecules are approximately 80 nucleotides in length. Their secondary structure includes four short double-helical elements and three loops (D, anti-codon, and T loops). Lineage: Eukaryota; Fungi; Basidiomycota; Agaricomycetes; Amylocorticiales; Amylocorticiaceae. The record is from RNAcentral.
GGUCCGAUGGCGUAGUUGGUUAUCGCAUCUGUCUAACACACAGAAGGUCCUGAGUUCGAGCCUCAGCCGGAUCA